UCCGUAGGUGAACCUGCGGAAGGAUCAUUAGUGAACGCCUCACGGGCUUAUAACUAUUCCAAACCUCUGUGAACCGUGCCCUUCGGGGCUAUUUUACAAACAUGGUGUAAUGAACGUCAUAUAUCAUAACAAAACAAAACUUUCAACAACGGAUCUCUUGGCUCUCGCAUCGAUGAAGAACGCAGCGAAAUGCGAUAAGUAAUGUGAAUUGCAGAAUUCAGUGAAUCAUCGAAUCUUUGAACGCACCUUGCGCCCUCUGGUAUUCCGGAGGGCAUGCCUGUUUGAGUGUCAUGUAGACUCAAUCCCUCGGGUUUCCGAGGAGAUUGGACUUGGGUGUUGCCGCUCUGCCGGCUCGCCUUAAAAGACUUAGCGGGAUAGCACCGUAGUCGGCGUAAUAAGUUUCGUCGGUGAAGGUUGUGAUGACUGCUUACAAUCGCCCUCGGGCAAUUUUUGACUCUGACCUCAAAUCAGGUAGGACUACCCGCUGAACUUAAGCAUAUCAAUAAGCGGAGGA
This 514-nucleotide ribosomal RNA is filed under the name Saitozyma podzolica. Its description in RNAcentral is "eukaryotic LSU rRNA". The stretch from base 138 to 291 matches the Rfam family "5.8S ribosomal RNA". The record is from RNAcentral. Lineage: Eukaryota; Fungi; Basidiomycota; Tremellomycetes; Tremellales; Trimorphomycetaceae.